This 253-nucleotide ribosomal RNA is filed under the name uncultured bacterium. RNAcentral describes it as "partial 16S ribosomal RNA". It matches the Rfam family "Bacterial small subunit ribosomal RNA", at positions 524 to 776 of the family's 1533-position model. The record is from RNAcentral.
UACGGGGGGGGCAAGCGUUGUUCGGAAUUACUGGGCGUAAAGGGCUCGUAGGUGGCCAACUAAGUCAGACGUGAAAUCCCCAGGCUCAACUUGGGAACUGCGUCUGAUACUGGAUGGCUUGAAUUCGGGAGAGGGAUGCAGAAUUCCAGGUGUAGCGGUGAAAUGCGUAGAUAUCUGGAGGAAUACCGGUGGCGAAGGCGGCAUCCUGGACCGAGAUUGACGCUGAGGCGCGAAAGCGUGGGGAGCGAACAGG